Molecule: long non-coding RNA, 1336 nt
Organism: Acanthochromis polyacanthus (spiny chromis)
Lineage: Eukaryota; Metazoa; Chordata; Actinopteri; Pomacentridae
Exons: 2
Source: RefSeq, a predicted model, not a curated record
CACAAUUCUCACUGAAAUCACUUGAAACUCACAAAAGUAACAAUAAAUAAAAAUUUAUUGAAAAUUAAAUAAUCAAAAACAGCCAUUACUUUUGAAUUGUUGAUUAACAUAAUUAUUUAAAAAAACAAACUAAUGAAACAAGCCUGGACAAAAAUGAUGGUACCUCUAUAAAAGAUUGAAAACUAUUUGACCAGAGUGACAUGAUUAACUCAGGUGUGUCGUUUAAUUGACAUCACAGGUGUUUCCAAACUCAUAAUCAGUCAGUCUGCCUAUUUAAAGGGAGACAAGUAGUCACCCUGCUGUUUGGUGAAAAGGUGUGUACCACACUGAACAUGGACAACAGAAAGCGAAGGAGAGAAUUGUCCCAGGACAUCCGAAAAAAAAUGAUAGACAAACAUCUUAAAGGUAAAGGCUAUAAGACCAUCUCUAAACAGCUUGACGUUCCUGUGACAACAGUGGCUCAUAUUAUUCAGAAGUUCAAGACCCACGGGACAGUAGCCAACCUCCCUGGACGUGGCCGCAAGAGGAAAAUUGAUGACAAAUUGAAGAGACGGAUCGUUGGAAUUGUAUCCAAAGAGCCCAGAGCAACCUCCAAAGAAAUUAAAGGUGAACUCCAAGGCCAAGGUACAUCAGUGUCAGAUCGCACCAUUCGUCGUUGUUUGAGCCAAAGUGGACUUCAUGGGAGACGACCAAGGAGGACACCACUGCUGAAAAAAACUCAUAAAAAAAGCGAGACUAGAAUUUGCAAAAAUGCAUGUUGACAAGCCACAAAGCUUCUGGAAGAAUGUCCUUUGGACAGAUGAGACCAAACUGGAGCUUUUUGGUAAGGCACAUCAACUCUAUGUUCAUAGACUCAAAAACCAAGCAUACGAAGAAAAGAACACUGUCCCUACGGUGAAACAUGGAGGAGGCUCAGUAAUGUUUUGGGGCUGCUUUGCUGCAUCUGGCACAGGGUGUCUUGAAAGUGUGCAAGGUACGAUGAAAUCUGAAGACUAUCAAGGCAUUCUGGAGAGAAAUGUGCUGGCUAGUGUCAGAAAGCUUGGUCUCAGUCGCAGGUCAUGAGUCUUCCAACAGGACAACGAUCCAAAACACACAGCCAAAAACACCCAAGAAUGGCUGAGAGAAAAGCGUUGGACUAUUCUAAAGUGGCCUUCUAUGAGCCCAGAUCUGAAUCCCAUUGAACAUAUGUGGAAGGAGCUGAAACAUGCCAUUUGGAGAAGACACCCAUCAAACCUGAGACAACUGGAGCUGUUUGCUCAUGAGGAGUGGGCCAAAAUACCUGUUGACAGCUGCAGAACGCUCAUUGACAAAUACAGAAAUCGUUUAAUUGCAGUGA